This 503-nucleotide ribosomal RNA is filed under the name uncultured bacterium. Its description in RNAcentral is "bacterial SSU rRNA". It matches the Rfam family "Bacterial small subunit ribosomal RNA", at positions 46 to 525 of the family's 1533-position model. The record is from RNAcentral.
GGAUUAGGCAUGCAAGUCGAACGGGAUCCGGGAGGUAGCAAUACCGGCCGGUGAGAGUGGCGGAAGGGCGAGGAGCACGUGGACAACCUGUCCCGUGGGUGGGGAUACCGUCCCGAAAGGGGCGUUAAUACCGAAUGGGGCCCCGGACCGCAUGGUCCGGCGGCCAAAGGCGGGGAUCCGCAAGGACCUGUCGCUUAAGGAUGAGCCCAUGUCCUAUCAGCUAGUUGGUGAGGUAACGGCCCACCAAGGCUUACGGGUAGCUGGUCUGAGAGGAUGGUCAGCCACACUGGGACUGAGACACUGCCCAGACUCCUACGGGAGGCUGCAGUCGAGGAUCUUGGACAAUGUGCGCAAGCCUGACAGAGCGACGCCGCGUGAGGGAGGAAGGCCUUCGGGUUGUAAACCGCUGUCAGAGGGGAUGAAAUCUUCGGAGGUACUCCUCCGAAGUUGACAGAGCCUCAAAGGAAGCACGGGCUAAGUACGUGCCAGCAGCCGCGGUAAUA